Molecule: ribosomal RNA, 1310 nt
Filed under: metagenome
Description: bacterial LSU rRNA
Rfam family: Bacterial large subunit ribosomal RNA
Source: RNAcentral
UUAGAAAAGAUUUUUCAUAUGUCUUACUCGCCCGUACCGUAAACCGACACAGGUGGGUGAGUGUAAAUGCACUAAGGCGCGCGAGAGAGACCUCUCUAAGGAACUCGGCACAUUAGCCUCGUAACUUCGGGAAAAGAGGUGCUCACUUCGGUGAGCCACAGUAAAUUGCGUUUAGCGACUGUUUAACAAAAACACAGCACUCUGCUAAGUCGUUAAGACGACGUAUAGGGUGUGACACGUGACCAAUGCGGAAAGAUUAAGGCAUUUUGUUAGCCGCAAGGCGAAGCUCGGUGCCAAAGUCCCCGUGAAUGUCGGCCGUAACUAUAACGGUCCUAAGGUAGCGAAAUUCCUUGUCGGGUAAGUUCCGACCUGCACGAAUCGUGUAACGACUGAACGACUGUCUCGGAGAGGAUCUCGGCGAAACUGUAACUGCGGUGAAGAUGCCGCAUGCCCGCAGUAGGACGGAAAGACCCUAUGCACCUUUACUGUAAGCUGGUAUUGUGUUCUGAUUAAUAAUGCGUAGCGUAGGUGGGAGGCUUUGAAGUGAGUGCUUCGGUGCUCAUGGAGCCGCAAUGUGAAACACCACUCUUUGCUAAUUAGGAUUCUAACCUCGAUUCCUGUCAACCAGGCGAGGGACAGUGCUUGCGGGUCAGUUUGACUGGGGCGGUUUCCUCCCAAAGAGUAACGGAGGAGCGCGAAGCUUGGCUCAGCACGGUUGGCAACCGUGCGUCGAGCGUAUGGGUAUAAGCCAGGUUAACUGUGAGACCUACAAGUCGAGCAGAUGCGAAAGCAGGCCCAAAUGAUCCGAUGGUUUAAUGUGGAAUCGCCAUCGCUCAACGGACAAAAGGUACGCUAGGGAUAACAGGCUGAUCGGUUCCAAGAGUUCACAUCGACGAACCGGUUUGGCACCUGAUGUCGGCUCAUCGCAUCCUGGGGCUGGAGAAGGUCCCAAGGGUCCGGCUGUUCGCCGGUUAAAGCGGUACGCGAGCUGGGUUCAGAACGUCGUGAGACAGUUCGGUCCUUAUCCACUGUGGGCGCAGGAAUCUUGAGGGGUUCAUUCUCUAGUACGAGAGGACCGAGAAUGACGCACUUCUGGUGUGGCAGUUGUUCCAUCAGGGGCAUCGCUGCGUAGCCAUGUGCGGAAGAGAUAAGCGCUGAAAGCAUCUAAGUGCCAAGCUCAUCCCAAGAUAUGGAUUCCCGGACGCAAGUCCCUAAAGACCCCCGGCAGACUACCGGGUUGAUAGGUCAGGCAUGUAAGCGUCGCGAGAUGUUUAGUGGACUGAUACUAAUUGGUCGUGCGGCUUGAUCGC